GGGUAGGCCGCGUGUGGGCUCUGGGAGACUGAGAAGGACCCAGUGUCUGGGGUACUUCACUGUGCUGGGUGGCUGAGGAGCAAUGAAAUCAAGCGGCCAGGGCCCAAGGAGAGGGUAGCUCCAGGGGCUGCUGAGGGAACCGGGAGGAAGGGCUGAGAGAUGGGGUCAGAGCAGAUGGUCACCAGGCCGCACGGAGCCCCGGCGGAGACCCUCUGCCGCUGCCUGGCAGCACAUUCAGGCUCAGAGCCCGAGUGGAAGAAGGAAUGUGGGUGCACUCAGCACAGGCUCAUCGAUUUGGGGGUGGUUGGGGUGCCUCCAACACUCUGAUCCAAAUGGCCUCACCUCAGGGAGGGGACAUAGCUGUGCCUUCAGCAUCCGAUGGGCGUUUCCAGCCUGUCUGGGUGGCCCAGGGGCUGGAGAGUUUGACAGGUUCUCUGGGGAUGGAUUGCUUUUGGUUUCUCAGAGGCAGGACUCUGGACAGGAAAUGUCUCUCUUGAAUCUUGGCCUCGCAAUUGCCAAGCCCCGCCCCCCCCCACCCAGGUCACUGUCAUGCGGCAAAGGGGCUGAUGGUCAUGAAUGGAGCACUAACAGUGGUGCUGGUUCCUCUGGGUGACUGUGCAAAUCGCUAGGUUUUGUGCUUCAAGACCCCUCCCCCAAACUCCCUCCUCUCUUUCCUUUGGGGCCUCGUUUUCCUGUCCCCAAGCCCUGUUUCAGGGAGGAGACUUAAAGGUGGUUCUCGGGAAUUAAAGUAGGGUAAUUGAUUGAAAGGAUGCUCUCAUGACACAUGUGGGUGGAGAAAACAGAGGGUUUAAGGCAUUACAUUGGGGUGGGGGGUGCGUGCUGGGAGUCUUUGAGAGAAUUUACCCCUCUCUCUGGUACUUCACUUGGCUUAGAAGGUCAGGAGGAAUUCCAUCAAGCUGGCAGCUGCCCAAGGCCAGUAUGGUCCUGGGGGGCUGCUGAGGGAAACCCGAGGAAAGGCUGAGAGUCAGUGGUAGAGGAGACGGCCUCCGGGAGGGGCCAGAGCACAGACAAAGCCCAUCUGAAGCCCCCUGGCUGCACCUCCAGGCUACGAGGUGGUGCCAAGAGGGGUUAGUGGGAGCCCCAGGAUGUGUUAAGAUGGCUCACAGGGCACCACUGACUUUCUGGCACAAAUUGACCCACGUCAGGGAGGUCAGGGAGCAGAAAGAUGUGUGCUUUCUGCAUCUGAUGGGUGGUUCCAUCCGGCUCUGGCUGCCCAGGGGCCAGAGAGGUGGACGUGUUCUCUGGGGUUGGUUUGCUCUUUGUUUCUCAGGGGGCAGGGACACUGGACCCACAAUAUCUGUCUUGAAUCUUGGCCUUGAAACUACGAAGCCUGCAGCUUCUAUAAAGUCAUCACGUGUCCAAAGGGGCUGGUGGUCAUGAAUGGAGCUUAUGAAAGCGGUGCUAUUUUGAGGGGCAGACAGGAAUCCCUGUGCUUUAUCUUUCAGGAGUUCUCCCCAAAUUCUUUCUUCCCCUUCCACCUGAACCUCUAUGUCCUGUCUGCAAUCGCGGUUUCAAGGAGCAGAACUAAGGGAAGGGCCUGAGAGGGAAGGCAGCUGGGACUGAUUUAAAGAAGGCUCUCGGUACCCAAUGCGCACAGAAACACGCUACGGGCUGGGGUGUGACAAUCUCUGAGCCGGAACUCACCCCACACCCUGAAAUCAACAACCCCACUUUGUGUCUGGCAGAGGAAGAAGAGGCUCAGGUGGGAGGGAAGAAAAAGCUUGAAGAAAUAGAACAGUUAUGAGCUCAGCAUGUCCCCCCAAGACCCCUGGUUUGACACAGUGCAUUCACUACCCGAAGGCCAGCUUUCUAGAGCUCAACUCCAUGUGGAACAGACCGGUUGUGGCAAACUGCAUGGCCAGAAAAUAAUCCAUGUAUUUCUGGGUCCAGAGUUGAGCCUCCAAACAAAGGGGACAGUUUGUCAACUCUCUAGCCACUGGGCCAACUGGCCUUUCAGGAAUUGAACCAUAGAUGUGAUGUAAGAAUUAUUUCCCCUCCCUCAGAGGAGGAAAAUUUGGCCAGAGAGUCCGAGGUACCACAUACCAAAACAGAAGGCUCUGGGAUGCUAAAAACCCAUCUCCAACCUUGCCUCUCAGCCUGAAGAUGAAGUCUGGGAGCUGCAGGGAGGGGCGCCAAUGGUGCUCUGCCGCCAUCUGGUGGCCAUGUGCUCUAACAGCAACUCCCAGCCCUUCCUGUCUCCCACAGCAGAACCCUGGUCUGCAGUGGCCUGGGGACCUUAGCAGUACUGGGGUGUAUUGCGUGCAGAUCAGUACCCACAGCAAGCACACAAGUUUUUCAGUUGUUUCCUGGGCACCAGGGACUCUCUGCUCCCUGAUUCCUCAUGUCAGGCAGAGGACACGUGUCCUUUCAGGAUUUUGAGAUGGAUUCACAACCUGGUUGGGUGGCAGUGUGUUUAGAAUGCUUGAAGGAUUCACUGGGUUUCACAGUGCCUUGUGUUCCUCCAGAGGCAGGGGCUGAGACCCACGGAGCAUUUGUGUGUAUUGUGAACUGACCAGUGUCAAGCCCCUGACCAUCAGUGUUUUAGGCAGGUGGAGAAAGAGGCUGGUGCUAAUGAAUGCAUGGGGGACUUUAGUGGCAUUAUUUGGGGCGGCUGUGCUAAUACCUGUGCAUUUUUGGCUCAAGAGUCCUAGUGAAAUUUCCUUCUUGCCUUUCUAGAUGAGCCUGACUUCUCAGUGUGG
Phacochoerus africanus (Common warthog) is the source of this 2720-nucleotide long non-coding RNA. RefSeq lists it as uncharacterized. NCBI's taxonomy places the organism in Eukaryota, Metazoa, Chordata, Mammalia, Artiodactyla, Suidae. The transcript is spliced from 3 exons. The record is from RefSeq and is a predicted model, not a curated record.